This 508-nucleotide long non-coding RNA is filed under the name Arabidopsis lyrata. RNAcentral's name for it is "long non-coding RNA (ALYR_LNC001761)". The record is from RNAcentral. Lineage: Eukaryota; Viridiplantae; Streptophyta; Magnoliopsida; Brassicales; Brassicaceae.
UUGGUCGCCACUCUGUUUCUGUUAAAGAAAAAUUCCCUCUUAAUUGUCUUAAAAUAUACUAUGCAUUAUAGGUCCUUUCUUAAACAUUUUUCAUAAUGAUUUCGGUUUUCAUAUUGAAGCGCCAAAUGCAACACACAAAUGGUGAAGAAGGGAUUGGGCUUUCUUCUAAUGGGCCUGAUAGAAACCAGUGGGCUUGGAAUUGGCUUGACCAUUGGAUGUCUUCUCAGCCAUACACAGGCCGUCAAACCGGCCCGGCUCCCGGUCCCGGACAGUACAAUCCUCCUCCGUAUCCGCCUUUUCCGACAGCCGCAGCAACCACAACAUCUGAUGAUGUAUCGGAGAAGACGGUGGAAAUGGACGUGACCACUCCCACUAGCCUCAAGGCCAAUAUAAUCGGGCUUAUUGAUCGAGAGUAUAUAGACUUAGGAUCAUAUAGACAAGGCCAUAAGCAACGGAAAAGCCCAACCCAUAUACCAAGCUAUAUGGCUCCAACCGCAUCUGCUAAGGC